This 253-nucleotide ribosomal RNA is filed under the name uncultured bacterium. Its description in RNAcentral is "partial 16S ribosomal RNA". It matches the Rfam family "Bacterial small subunit ribosomal RNA", at positions 524 to 776 of the family's 1533-position model. The record is from RNAcentral.
UACGGAGGGGGCGAGCGUUGUCCGAAGUUACUGGGCGUAAAGCGCGCGUAGGCGGGUGGGGAAGUCCGCUGUGAAAGCCCGGAGCUCAACUCCGGAGGGUCGGUGGAUACUGCCCAUCUUGAAGGUGCUAGGGGGAGAUGGAAUUACCGGUGUAGCGGUGAAAUGCGUAGAGAUCGGUAGGAACACCAGUGGCGAAGGCGGUCUCCUGGAGCAUACUUGACGCUGAGGCGCGAAAGCUGGGGGAGCGAACGGG